UACAGAGGGUGCGAGCGUUAAUCGGAUUUACUGGGCGUAAAGCGUGCGUAGGCGGCUUUUUAAGUCGGAUGUGAAAUCCCCGAGCUUAACUUGGGAAUUGCAUUCGAUACUGGGAAGCUAGAGUAUGGGAGAGGCAGCUGGAAUUCUCGGUGUAGCAGUGAAAUGCGUGGAGAUCUGGAGGAAUACCGAUGGCGAAGGCAGCCAUCUGGCCUAAUACUGACGCUGAGGUACGAAAGCAUGGGGAGCAAACAGG
RNAcentral lists this unclassified non-coding RNA (253 nucleotides) under uncultured bacterium. Its description in RNAcentral is "contains 16S-23S intergenic spacer region". It matches the Rfam family "Bacterial small subunit ribosomal RNA", at positions 524 to 776 of the family's 1533-position model. The record is from RNAcentral.